Molecule: long non-coding RNA, 3155 nt
Filed under: Ananas comosus (pineapple)
Lineage: Eukaryota; Viridiplantae; Streptophyta; Magnoliopsida; Poales; Bromeliaceae
Description: long non-coding RNA (ACOM_LNC005804)
Source: RNAcentral
UUUCAGGUACCGCGGGCGAUGAAUAGUGGGACGAGACGUGAGGUACGUGUGUAGCGGUCGAUAGAGCUUCCGACCCAGGUUAUUUCGGUAUAGUUAUUACCCUUAUUAUUUCAGUUGUUAUAGCUUAGAUAGUUAUAUGGUUCAGUAUUUUUAUUACAUUUGAAAAUAUGGAUUUUCGUGAAUGUAAUAAAUGGAUUUCUGGAUUUUGUAAAAUAAAAGGUUUUCUACCCCUCGUGGUAGCGUUUUUAAAGAAUAAAGGUUUUCGUGUAGGAAACAGUUUUCAAAAGAUUUUCUGUGGAUUUUGCAUCUUAGUAUUUCAAAACCUGGUUCUGUGGUUGAGAACAUUUUAACUGAUAGAUGUGGAUUUAUGUUUAAAAAUCAAAUAUAUAAAUGUGAACUGUGAUGUGAAUGGUGUAUGAAUAUAUAAUUGUUGGUUAUUUGUAUGUUCAUUUGGUUGUGGUUGUAUCUGGGUUACUUCUUGUACUUGUGUGACGCCGUGCAAAUACAGGGAAGACUCUGUCCGUGUUAAUAGUGGAUUCCCUGUGUUUGUGGCGGAUCUGGCAUACUCUGGGAUCAGGCUUUUCAAACAAAAAAAAAUCAGACGCUUUUCCGCUAUGUUUUAAACUAAAAGGGACCCCGGGGCGUGACAAAUUAAAGUGGUAUCAGAGCGAGGUUACAACCACAACACCAUUCACAGGUUGUUUUUGAAAAGUAAAUGAAACUGAACCAUUGGUUAGGUUGACCAAUAGGAAGACCACGGUGUAUAGGCACGUGAGUGCGGGGUUUUGGACUUGUGUCCUGGGUUGCAUUCGAGUUGGGUAAACUCGAAGUGCAUGGUUUCUGUAUGUGUUACGGUUCGCACAAGCUGGUGUCUCAGUUGGGAGUAGUGGCGGUGCUUCUUUGUGGACAUCGAGUGGUGGGACGACAUUCCCCAGGUGUUGCCACUCCUGUCAGGUGGGGCCUUGAAGGGCCAAGUGAGAUUUUCGGGCCUAGGCGAGUGUCAUGACUGCCGACGCCCAGGCCACUCUCUCUACUUAGGACACGAGAGCUGUUGCGAGUGUCUCUACAGAGACGGUGCUUAGACCAGUUACGGUCGCGACUUCAGUGGGGCUACUAGGGUGUAGCCCAGGGUUUGGAUUGCGGUCGUUUCAGCGACUGCAUUGUUAGUGUUGCUUCCGCAGACCUUUGGGUAGGGUUGCGAUGCCUACCUCUCCUCCUUGAUUGUUGAUUGGAAUCAGCGGUUCGAAUCUUUUGACCUUGAACUCAUUCAUUCUUCCUACUAGAGUCAAAUUGACACAGUUUUGGUGUCAAGUUUUCGUUAAGGCAUACAUCGUGUGCGGUUAUUCUAACACCCAAAUUGGUGUGUUGUGGGUUAGUUGUAGUUGGUCUAGAUUCGAGAUGUUCCAGGGUCGUUCUAAUUUCGAAUGUCGACUUGUAAAGUCGAUGUUUCGAUAGUAAUGGUUGUGAGCUUCUGGUUCAGUGAAGAGGUAUCAGGUGGCUUGAUACUUCGACGUGUCACACUUCCAACUCGUUGUUGGUAGUGGAUCUUCGGAUAUUUCGCUUUUCUUUUGAUAAGUAUAUUGGCUGCAGACAAUAUACUGUCGAAAGAGGAACGAAAUACCAUCUUCCCAUUUGGGACUUAUGNNNNNNNNNNNNNNNNNNNNNNNNNNNNNNNNNNNNNNNNNNNNNNNNNNNNNNNNNNNNNNNNNNNNNNNNNNNNNNNNNNNNNNNNNNNNNNNNNNNNCGGUGAAUGAUUCACCGUCUUUAAAAGAAAUAGGAGAAAGCGGUGAACGAUUCACCGCUUUUAAAAGAAAUGGGAGAAAGCGGUGAACGAUUCACUGCCUUUAAAAAAAAUUCUGACGUGGCGCCGACGUGGUGAAAGGAGGGUUAGUUUUCCAAAUAAAAUUUUGAGAGGGUUAUUUCACAAAUUUCAAAAUUUUAGAGGGUUGCUUUAUAAAAAAGUCCAUAGUUUUGCUGUAGUACGAUAAUGCAUUUAAUGAUUUAAUUAUUAUUAACAAAGGUACCACUUUGUAGGCCCCAAAAAGAUGCGAAGAAAACGCGUGAUUCCCUCUCCAAAGUGCAUACCACAGUAGCCAGGAGUUGCAAGAUAUGCCAUCCCAGAAAAGAGGGAGAAUAAUCUGCAUUGAGAGAGAAAUCUAUAUAUAUGACAAAAAUAUACAUUUUUUUUUUCGCCAAUUUACAUAAAAAAUUCAUAAGUUUUAAGCUUUUGAAAAACUAGACUACCUUUUUUAAUUUUGCAGAUUCGGGCCGAGUUUUUCGCCAUCGGGCGAAAAUACCCUUAUUCCUUUUCUUUCUCUCUCUUCUUUUUUUCUCUCUUUUUUUUUUCCUUCGCUAUUUUUUUUCUUCCGCCACCCGCCGCUGCGCCCUCUGCUCCACCCCCGCCGCCACGCUCGCGCUCUCCCUCGCCACCGCCGUCGCGCUCGCGUUAGCCUACCUUUAACUACCAGCCCCGCCUCCCCUCCUUCCUCCUCCUCUCCGUCCGACCGCACCGUGUCCGGAUCUCCCCCCGAUCCCUCCACCCGCGCCGCUGCCGCCACCCACGCUGCUGCCGCCACCCGCCACCUUCUCCAGGGGCCCGCAUCUCACACGAUGUCACAGCCACCACCCGCGCUGUUGCUGNUACGUGUGUAGCGGUCGAUAGAGCUUCCGACCCAGGUUAUUUCGGUAUGAUGAUUACCCUUAUUAUUUCAGUUGUUAUAGCUUAGAUAGUUAUAUGGUUCAGUAUUUUUAUUACAUUUGAAAAUAUGGAUUUUCGUGAAUGUAAUAAAUGGAUUUCUGGAUUUUGUAAAAUAAAAGGUUUUCUACCCCUCGUGGUAGCGUUUUUAAAGAAUAAAGGUUUCCGUGUAGGAAACAGUUUUCAAAAGAUUUUCUGUGGAUUUUGCAUCUUAGUAUUUCAAAAGCUGUUUCUGUGGUUGGGAACAUUUUAACUGAUAGAUAUGGAUUUAUGUUUAAAAAUUGAAUAUAUAAAUGUGAACUGUGAUGUGAAUGGUGUAUGAAUAUAUAAUUGUUGGUUAUUUGUAUGUUCAUUUGGUUGUGGUUGUAUCUGGGUUACUUCUUGUACUUGUGUGACGCCGUGCAAAUACAGGGGAGACUCUGUCCGUGUGAAUAGUGGAUUCCCUGUGUUUGUGGCGGAU